GAUGAACGCUGGCGGCGUGCCUAAUACAUGCAAGUCGAGCGAACAGACGAGGAGCUUGCUCCUUUGACGUUAGCGGCGGACGGGUGAGUAACACGUGGGUAACCUACCUAUAAGACUGGGAUAACUUCGGGAAACCGGAGCUAAUACCGGAUAAUAUUUCGAACCGCAUGGUUCGAUAGUGAAAGAUGGCUCUGCUAUCACUUAUAGAUGGACCUGCGCCGUAUUAGCUAGUUGGUAAGGUAACGGCUUACCAAGGCAACGAUACGUAGCCGACCUGAGAGGUGAACCGGCAACAUUGAAACGAGGACAGGUUCCAAACCCCUAGGGGAGGAAGCAGUGGGGAAUCUCCGCAAUGGGCGAAAGCCUGACGGAGCAACGCCGCGUGAGUGAUGAAGGUCUUCGGAUCGUAAAACUCUGUUAUUAGGGAAGAACAAACGUGUAAGUAACUGUGCACGUCUUGACGGUACCUAAUCAGAAAGCCACGGCUAACUACGUG
RNAcentral lists this ribosomal RNA (496 nucleotides) under uncultured bacterium. RNAcentral describes it as "partial 16S ribosomal RNA". It matches the Rfam family "Bacterial small subunit ribosomal RNA", at positions 28 to 507 of the family's 1533-position model. The record is from RNAcentral.